UACGUAGGGGGCAAGCGUUGUCCGGAAUCAUUGGGCGUAAAGAGCGUGUAGGCGGCUCGGUAAGUCCGCUGUGAAAGUCCAGGGCUCAACCCUGGAAUGCCGGUGGAAACUGUCGAGCUAGAGUCCGGAAGAGGCGAGUGGAAUUCCUGGUGUAGCGGUGAAAUGCGCAGAUAUCAGGAGGAACACCAAUGGCGAAGGCAGCUCGCUGGGACGGUACAGACGCUGAGACGCGAAAGCGUGGGGAGCAAACAGG
Molecule: ribosomal RNA, 253 nt
Filed under: uncultured bacterium
Lineage: Bacteria
Description: partial 16S ribosomal RNA
Rfam family: Bacterial small subunit ribosomal RNA
Source: RNAcentral